RNAcentral lists this ribosomal RNA (1314 nucleotides) under uncultured Alphaproteobacteria bacterium. Its description in RNAcentral is "uncultured alpha proteobacterium 16S ribosomal RNA". It matches the Rfam family "Bacterial small subunit ribosomal RNA", at positions 33 to 1394 of the family's 1533-position model. The record is from RNAcentral. Lineage: Bacteria; Pseudomonadati; Pseudomonadota; Alphaproteobacteria.
ACGCUGGCGGCACGCCUAACACAUGCAAGUCGAACGAAGUAGCAAUACUUAGUGGCAGACGGGUGAGUAACAUGUAGGUAUCUGCCCUUUGGCCUGGAAUAACACGAGGAAACUUGUGCUAAUACCGGAUAAGUCUUUACGGAGAAAGCUUUAUGCACCAUUGGAUGAGCCUGCACUUGAUUAGUUUGUUGGUGGGGUAAUGGCCUACCAAGACUGUGAUCAAUAGCUGAUUUGAGAGGAUGAUCAGCCACAUUGGGACUGAGACACGGCCCAAACUCCUACGGGAGGCAGCAGUGGGGAAUCUUGCACAAUGGAGGAAACUCUGAUGCAGCGAUGCCGCGUGAGUGAAGAAGGCCUUUGGGUUGUAAAGCUCUUUCGUCGGGGAAGAAAAUGACUGUACCCGAAUAAGAAGGUCCGGCUAACUUCGUGCCAGCAGCCGCGGUAAUACGAAGGGACCUAGCGUAGUUCGGAAUUACUGGGCUUAAAGAGUUCGUAGGUGGUUGAAAAAGUUAGUGGUGAAAUCCCAGAGCUUAACUCUGGAACUGCCAUUAAAACUUUUCAGCUAGAGUAUGAUAGAGGAAAGCAGAAUUUCUAGUGUAGAGGUGAAAUUCGUAGAUAUUAGAAAGAAUACCAAUUGCGAAGGCAGCUUUCUGGAUCAUUACUGACACUGAGGAACGAAAGCAUGGGUAGCGAAGAGGAUUAGAUACCCUCGUAGUCCAUGCCGUAAACGAUGUGUGUUAGACGUUGGAAAUUUAUUUUCAGUGUCGCAGGGAAACCGAUAAACACACCGCCUGGGGAGUACGACCGCAAGGUUAAAACUCAAAUGAAUUGACGGGGACCCGCACAAGUAGUGGAGCAUGUGGUUUAAUUCGAAGAUACGCGCAGAACCUUACCAACACUUGACAUGUUCGUCGCGACUCUAAGAGAUUAGAGUUUUCGGUUCGGCCGGACGAAACACAGGUGCUGCAUGGCUGUCGUCAGCUCGUGUCGUGAGAUGUUGGGUUAAGUCCCGCAACGAGCGCAACCCUCACUUUUAGUUGCCAUCAUUAAGUUGGGCACUCUGAAAGAACUGCCAGUGAUAAGCUGGAGGAAGGUGGGGAUGACGUCAAGUCCUCAUGGCCCUUACGUGUUGGGCUACACACGUGCUACAAUGGUAUCUACAACAGGAAGCAAGACUGCGAAGUUAAGCAAAUCCCGAAAAGAUACCUCAGUUCGGAUUGCACUCUGCAACUCGAGUGCAUGAAGCUGGAAUUACUAGUAAUCGUAGAUCAGCGUGCUACGGUGAAUGCGUUCCCGGGUCUUGUACACACCGCC